RNAcentral lists this ribosomal RNA (489 nucleotides) under uncultured bacterium. RNAcentral's name for it is "partial 16S ribosomal RNA". It matches the Rfam family "Bacterial small subunit ribosomal RNA", at positions 30 to 506 of the family's 1533-position model. The record is from RNAcentral.
AUUGAACGCUGGCGGCAGGCCUAACACAUGCAAGUCGAACGGUAACAGGAAGAAGCUUGCUUCUUUGCUGACGAGUGGCGGACGGGUGAGUAAUGUCUGGGAAACUGCCUGAUGGAGAGGGAUAACUACUGGAAACGGUAGCUAAUACCGCAUAACGUCGCAAGACCAAAAAGGGGGACCUUCGGGCCUCUUGCCAUCGGAUGUGCCCAGAUGGGAUUAGCUAGUAGGUGGGGUAACGGCUCACCUAGGCGACGAUCCCUAGCUGGUCUGAGAGGAUGACCAGCCACACUGGAACUGAGACACGGUCCAGACUCCUACGGGAGGCAGCAGUGGGGAAUAUUGCACAAUGGGCGCAAGCCUGAUGCAGCCAUGCCGCGUGUAUGAAGAAGGCCUUCGGGUUGUAAAGUACUUUCAGCGGGGAGGAAGGGAGUAAAGUUAAUACCUUUGCUCAUUGACGUUACCCGCAGAAGAAGCACCGGCUAACUCCGU